GACGAAGAUCGAAGACAGAGACAGAGAUGAUGAACCCGCGAUCCUCGAGCCCUCGACCCUCGGAAGAGACAGAGAUGAAGACGAACCCGCGACCCUCGAGCUCUUGACCGUGUCCCUCGAGCCGCGACCUUCGAGCCCUCGACCGCGACCUCGAGCCCGCGACUCCACGACAUUUCAGGCUUUCCCCGUCGUCUUCUUCAUCAAUAAUCCAUGAAGAUGUAGAGGGUCGUCCAGCCCAUCAUCCUUCCUUAUCCCCUUUGCACAUACCCAGUAGAUUAGAUUCUUUUGACCCAACAAUUUCUUCAAGUUCAAUCUUCAAGACCCGACAGCACACCCUCCUCGGAUCGGGCUGCUGCCAUUCCAAACUCGAAGGGCGGAGUUCGGCUUCAUAUGAAACUGGUCUGCAAUAACUGGGCACCUCUUUUCUUCUUUUUGCUUCGAUGGGUUGAUUGUUCUUGUGCUUGUUUCUUGCCGGGGUACUUGAACCUCUUCCGCAUCCUUAUGUACAAGGUUUACCCGGAUGGGAGAUUGAGCCUUGGCGCUAACGCAAGGAAAGCAACAAUACGGGACUUGUAUGGCAUCUAGUUGAUCCUCUGAAGCUUCCGCAAAUCGAUUUUUUUUACGGUUGAAGUGGAUUGAAGAAAUUGAAACUCCAUUGAGCCGGACAAGAUAGCUGCUGUGCGGAAAGCCUCUUGAGAGCCAGAAUCCUGCAAGUUCUUUUCCCUUCGUGCUCGGAUGAAUUCCUCUGUAAAUUAGUAUGGAGCCUGAAAUGUAUAGCACUGUAAUUCAUUACAUUACCCUGCCAACUGUGCUGUUUCAUUUGGUAUGAAUAAUAACUGUUACGUAGUAUACUGCAUUUCUCCUUUGUAUCAAAA
This is a non-coding RNA of Punica granatum (pomegranate), 875 nucleotides long. The record is from RefSeq and is a predicted model, not a curated record. Lineage: Eukaryota; Viridiplantae; Streptophyta; Magnoliopsida; Myrtales; Lythraceae.